This 729-nucleotide ribosomal RNA is filed under the name uncultured Staphylococcus sp. RNAcentral's name for it is "bacterial SSU rRNA". It matches the Rfam family "Bacterial small subunit ribosomal RNA", at positions 66 to 777 of the family's 1533-position model. Lineage: Bacteria; Bacillati; Bacillota; Bacilli; Caryophanales; Staphylococcaceae. The record is from RNAcentral.
GCGAACGGACGAGAAGCUUGCUUCUCUGAUGUUAGCGGCGGACGGGUGAGUAACACGUGGGUAACCUACCUAUAAGACUGGGAUAACUUCGGGAAACCGGAGCUAAUACCGGAUAAUAUUUUGAACCGCAUGGUUCAAAAGUAAAAGACGGUCUUGCUGUCACUUAUAGAUGGAUCCGCGCUGCAUUAGCUAGUUGGUAAGGUAACGGCUUACCAAGGCAACGAUGCAUAGCCGACCUGAGAGGGUGAUCGGCCACACUGGAACUGAGACACGGUCCAGACUCCUACGGGAGGCAGCAGUAGGGAAUCUUCCGCAAUGGGCGAAAGCCUGACGGAGCAACGCCGCGUGAGUGAUGAAGGUCUUCGGAUCGUAAAACUCUGUUAUUAGGGAAGAACAUAUGUGUAAGUAACUGUGCACAUCUUGACGGUACCUAAUCAGAAAGCCACGGCUAACUACGUGCCAGCAGCCGCGGUAAUACGUAGGUGGCAAGCGUUAUCCGGAAUUAUUGGGCGUAAAGCGCGCGUAGGCGGUUUUUUAAGUCUGAUGUGAAAGCCCACGGCUCAACCGUGGAGGGUCAUUGGAAACUGGAAAACUUGAGUGCAGAAGAGGAAAGUGGAAUUCCAUGUGUAGCGGUGAAAUGCGCAGAGAUAUGGAGGAACACCAGUGGCGAAGGCGACUUUCUGGUCUGUAACUGACGCUGAUGUGCGAAAGCGUGGGGAUCAAACAGGA